UUGUUUUUUUCACCUUUAGGUUUAGGGCAAGAUUUUUGAUUAGAUUCUUUUUUUUUUUUUUUUUUUUGAGACAGGGUCUCACUCUGUCGCCCAGAUGGGAGUGCAGUGGUACGAUCUUGGCUCACUGCAUCCUCUGCCUUCCAGGCUCAAGCGAUUCUCCUGCCUCAGCCUCCCAAGUGCCUGGGAUUGCCUGGGGUUAUAGGUGUGUGCCACCACGCC
RNAcentral lists this long non-coding RNA (219 nucleotides) under Pan troglodytes (chimpanzee). Its description in RNAcentral is "long non-coding RNA NONPTRT010182". The record is from RNAcentral. Lineage: Eukaryota; Metazoa; Chordata; Mammalia; Primates; Hominidae.